GGUGCGGUAGCAUAGUUGGCCUAAUGCGCCGGCCUCAUAAGCCGAGGAUCGGUGGUUCGAACCCACCCCGCACCA
This 75-nucleotide transfer RNA is filed under the name Terriglobia bacterium. Its description in RNAcentral is "tRNA-Ile". It matches the Rfam family "tRNA". From Rfam's summary of the family: Transfer RNA (tRNA) molecules are approximately 80 nucleotides in length. Their secondary structure includes four short double-helical elements and three loops (D, anti-codon, and T loops). Further hydrogen bonds mediate the characteristic L-shaped molecular structure. tRNAs have two regions of fundamental functional importance: the anti-codon, which is responsible for specific mRNA codon recognition, and the 3' end, to which the tRNAs corresponding amino acid is attached (by aminoacyl-tRNA synthetases). tRNAs cope with the degeneracy of the genetic code in two manners: having more than one tRNA (with a specific anti-codon) for a particular amino acid; and 'wobble' base-pairing, i.e. permitting non-standard base-pairing at the 3rd anti-codon position. The record is from RNAcentral. Lineage: Bacteria; Pseudomonadati; Acidobacteriota; Terriglobia.